UUAAGUAGAUUAAGUGAUGUCGAAUUUGGAUUUGCAGAUUUCUUAAAAUAGCUACAAUUACAAGUAUCUUCAGUUAGAGGUGCCAAGGUUGUUACUGAUCCAAGUAAUGGGCGAUCAAAAGGUUAUGGAUUUGUUAAAUUUGCAGAGGAAAGUGAAAGGAACCGGGCCAUGGCUGAAAAUGAAAUGAAUGGUUUGUAUUGCUCAACAAGGCGUAUUAUCAGUAUUGUUAAGAACUUAGCCAACGUUGAUAUCUUCUUCUGUGUUUGCCUUUGACUGGUUUUGUAAAAUAUAUUGGACCGGAGUCGAGAGCAUGAAGAGUGCCACUAUAUUAUGUAAGUGAUAUGACUAGUACCUGAAGAAAGAAGAAAGAGGUUCAAGCGGAAAGUUAUGUUGAUCGUCAAUGUCGCUUCAAGGUUCUUUCUUCAUUGUCUUGAUUGCCAAGGUGGGACAAUCGAACUUCAGCAUUAACACCGGAGAAAGAGAUAUUCUACCUAGUGGCGAUCCUAACAUCGGCAGUGAAUGUAGUAACAUUAGUGAAUGUUUGUAUUGCUCAACAAGGUCAUGUGAAUGUAGUAACAUUAGUGAUAAUCAAAUAUGACAAAAGUUGGUAUCCUUUACAUUGUAGAUAUUUGUUUUGUAGUUUAGGUUGAAAUUUGUAGGGUUUUUUUUGUA
This is a non-coding RNA of Camelina sativa (false flax), 672 nucleotides long. The record is from RefSeq and is a predicted model, not a curated record. NCBI's taxonomy places the organism in Eukaryota, Viridiplantae, Streptophyta, Magnoliopsida, Brassicales, Brassicaceae.